Molecule: long non-coding RNA, 16763 nt
Filed under: Coffea arabica (coffee)
Lineage: Eukaryota; Viridiplantae; Streptophyta; Magnoliopsida; Gentianales; Rubiaceae
Description: long non-coding RNA (CARA_LNC004893)
Source: RNAcentral
UUAUUUUCUUGUGUUUUGACUUAGGACACCUCUAGUCCUUGGCAGAGGGACUUGAGUAGCUAACCAUGAAAAGUAUUGCUACAGCUGUACAGCCUGGAAAUGAUCUUUUAGUUACUGUGAGAUUUUUCUUGUGGAAGUUAUUUUUUGAAAUUUUACGAGUCAUUGAAGUGGGUUUCAUCUGAAGGGAAGCAAAAGAGUGUUUUGUGAUUAUGAUGAGAUGAGCUCAUGAGGUUUCUUAAGUUGCCAAAAUGUUAGAGAUUGUUGGAAUGAUAAUAAUCUUGCUUAGGAAAAGAUUUUAAAAGGUUUUUCUUCAGGAAUGGUGGGAAACAAUUUAGAGGAAAUAUCUUACUGGGUUAAUAUGCAUGGUUGCUUAGUUAUAAGAAGAUGGGUUGACUGUAACAAGAGCUCAUUGAGAUGCCUUGUAAUGGCGCAAAGACAGUUGUACUCCACUUGCUCAUAGUGUCCUCUUAUUUGAUAAACUUGGGAAGAAGCAAUUGGUGCAUCAUUUCACCUAAAAGGGUGAUUUUCAUUAUUUGGAGGAAUUAAUACACUAACAUUUAUUUAUAUAUGUCAGACAACUUUAAACUGUUUCUUCAAAUUGUAAUGUUACUUUGAUGUGUCUUAUUCUGAAUCAUGGUGCUUUUCCUAUUCUGCAAGCAACCAAGAUGACAACCCUAGGAUGCUGCACCUCUUGUACUGAGGACAAUUAAGAGGAAAAUUUCUCUAGAUUUCUUAACAUGUAAAGUGAACUACGAAUUACUGAAUACUUGAGUCAGAACCUCAAAAGGAGAUCUUUUGAUUGUUCUGCUUCAAAUACUUGUUAUUAUCAUUGAUUCUCUUCUUUGACAAUUUCUGAGAUUAAUUGCCUAAACUGAACAGAUUUCCUGUAUAAAUUGUUUUUAGCUGAUGACAAUUUCCUAUUCUCACUAGGCUGAGUGCGAAGAGUUGCAGCAGAGAGUCGAGUCACUGAACAGUGAAAAUCGUGCACUUAGGGAUGAGCUACAAAAGGUUUCUGAGGAAUGCGAGAAGCUUACAUCCGAAAAUAACUCUAUUAAGGUUGGUAAAAUCACCUUUAAUAUCGCAUUGUAUCUGUCGCUCGCCACUAGUUAUUUCAUGCAACAACUGUUUUCAGCACAGUAUUCUACAUUGUGCUUUCCGUUCUGGAUGUUUAUGUCUCGGUUUAUUAACACGUCUGUUUCCUGGCUGAACCUAUGCCCUCCCCACCCACAAAACUGUUCCAUUGCUGCCUAUGAUGGAUUUGCUGCUGAAACAGGAGGAGUUGACUAGGUUGUGUGGACCAGAGGCAGUAGCUAAAUUAGAGAGCAGUAGCAUCACCCAACUUGAGACAAAUGGUGAUGAAGAUGACCAUUGAGAGAAGUGAUUUCAGAUAAAGUGACUCAGUUUAUAAUUGCCCGGAAAUUAUGCAAAGUACCUGAGAAAUUUAUUACUCUAGGGUUGAUUAGGUAAAGAAUGUUUGGUUUCUACUAAUUAUACAGUUUAACCAUAUCUCAGUUGUAACUGUAUCAUAAUACUGUCGAAUUCCAACAUGAGCUCAGUUUGUGCUCUUUGGUGUACUAGUAGUCAAUUGGAGAAAUAGAAGAAAGAGUAGUUUUUGGGUGAUUCUGUCGUCCAUUUUAAAGUUUUGUUUUCCUAUUUAUAUGCAAUUUGAUAAUGCAAACAACUAUUUCCAGCAUAGUUCGGAUGGGUGGAGACGUUGCAUACUUUGGUUUUAUUAUGUGGUUCUUGAAGGAGAAACUAGACAGCUGCAAGGCUCCUUCACCUGAAGUUCCAAAUGAAAGAGGGUCGUUCGAUUCUGAUUGGACUGUCAAAAACAACUUUGGGUUGAUUCUAGUGGCAAUCUAGUUUAAAGCUGUCUCGGAAUUGCACAUGUCCAUGAGGCUUUGCGACUGAUAGAUUCCGAAGAUUGCCGGUUUUCGUUAAAAGGUCCAAUGCUUUAUGGUGAAAAUGACAGUCAUCUUUUGAGGUGAAUUAUUUAAAAGGAUGUCAGAGGUAUGGUAUGCAAAAGUUUUACAUUCUCUCAACGGAGUGAACAAAUGCAUUCUGAAAUUGAGGAGAGAAAGAAGUUUUGUGAGUUAACAAUAUGCUCGAUGCAAAUUAUGAUAGCAUUCAAGUCUCUGUCAUUUCAUUUAGUGUUGUCUUUAGCAUUUGCAGCUUAUAAAAGUGAAGCGAAGCGAGUGAGUUCUUGCCCUCAGACAUCAGUCGCUCAGUAGCAUAUACGACAGUUCUUGCUGAAAAACUAAAACAGUUAAAGACAGACAAUGCUCAAAGGAAAGCGAAAGAAAGAAACACAAGAAGUAAACCCCACCCUUUGUUUUUACUUUUACAGCCAAAGCACAGGCAUAAGCUAUAUAAGCUGUACCUAAACCACAGGUAAUCCCAAGUUAAAUUACAUUGUACCCUUACGCAAAUUACUAGUUUCAUCACAUGCUUCCUACUUAAUUUAAUCCCCCAUUAUCAGGUUUAAGACUGCCGCUUAUUCUGCUAAAAGCUGUUGCUGUUAUGCUUGCUGCUAAUACCUCCAUGCUGACGUGGCAACGAGGGCCCUCUCAUGCCAGCAAAGCAGCAUCUCCGCCUGUCUCCUCGCCACGUGGAACCCCCUCACCUGUACUCUCCUUAUCAAACACUCGGCUUGGAAGUCAGCAAACUGGCUCAGCGCCACCGGCCUCAGACCGGCCGCCACAAAAGCCUCCCUCCACGGAGCUCCACGGCGGCCGGCCACCCCGACCGCCUCCAGAAUCUUUGGAUAAAUGACAAAACUCUCCAUUUUAUUCAUCCAAUCAUCAGCACCCCCACCACCGUUCGCAGCCUCCAAGGACUCCAACAGCGUCGAGUAAAACUCCAGCCCGUCUAUCAAAGUCUGCCUGAAAGACAUCGUUCCGAACCCGAUCAACCCUUCGCAAUCCAAAUGCACCACGACAUGCGGCGAAACGCGGCGUAGAUCGCUCAAGAAUCCUGUCCCGACGCGGCGAAAAAUAGUUGGAGAUAAAAGAAUAGCAACCUUCUCACCCUCCAUGAAUUUGAUAGCUUUAAAGGAACAAAACUCAAAUGUACGUACUAAAACGAAGUCCAAAUCGAAGCCGAUAUUGAGUUCUCUCGCGAACUGAGAAAGAUUUUCUCUGAUCAACUUAGACUCCAUUGCAUACUCCUCUCCGACCACAGCGGUAAUCCUGAGAACCGGCGGGGCUGCUUUGCGCAACUCGGCUUUAUCAGCUAGCUCUUUCAUGAAGGAAGCCCAGUGGCCUCCGAGGCCGAUGUCGAAGUCGAUGACGUGGAUGAGCAUGGAGCCAUCAACAGCUUCGAGGACGGCUUGGUUGGCCGUGAAGCUGGAGAACAUGGGUACAGGGGAGAUGUUGGAGAAGGCCUUAUGGGCUUUGAUGCUCUGGAUAACCUCGGAAGAAGUGGAUGGCUGAGUUAGACGGGUUGACCCGGUGAGUAGGGUUUGCAGAGCUUCCUUGAAGUAGAAGGCAGCUCGUUGGAGUGGCUUCCCUGUUGGACCUCGGAGGCGCUGGUUGAGCCGUCCCAGUAUCACGUGAGUCAGGUGAAGCGAGUUGGUCUCAAAGCACUCGGCGAGUCGGAUGAGUUCAUCGACGUAAUCAAACCCUGGAUUCCAGGUGAGAUUGGUAUUGUGAUGAUGAGCAUCAUGAGAGAGCCCGAGAGAGUUGAUGGAGCUAUCGUUGAAAGACGACGGGUACGUAGAGAUAUCGGGGAGGGUGAUGUCGGAAGGGACAAAGAGAGUAGAAUCAAAGGAGUUAUGAGUCGGGGGAAACUCGGGAAGAUUUUGGAACUGAACUUGAGACCCGCUUGGUGUGAACUGGGAAUGACUAAAGGUAGUAGGUCUGGAAGUGGGGGUUGGAUUAGAAUCUUCAUGCAAGCCCAAUUCUCUCAUCAAAGAAUCCCAGUCUACUUCGAAAUGAUUCAGCACAUGAUCCUCCAGCUGAAGACCUGUGUCGUCCCAGACGGUGGAAAUAUCGGUAUUUGAGGACGGAAUUUCGGUGACCGGACUCGGACUUUGUCGGAGCUCGAGAACUGAUUUUGGCUCGUAGCCCAGAAAAGUGUUGCUGUUGAUGGAGGUGGUGGUGGUGGUGGUGCGGAGGUCGUUGUUGUUGUCGUUGCAAUUCACUUGUUUCGUUGAGUUCAAUAUUGAUGGUUGAUUUUGAAUAAAGGGCACUUUCAUUUCUCGGUAAGAAGAAGAGGAUAAUAAAAGUCACCAAGAACGCCUAAGUAAGAAAAUAAAUCUCUCUUUCUCCCUCUCUAUAUAUACUAUAAGAUAUCUGUACGGCUCUGUUUAGCCUGUACUAUGUGUGUUUGUUUGGUUGGCUUGUUCAGUUUUUGUAAUGUUGAAGUUAGAAAUGUGUGGGAAAAAUGAAGAGCUAGAGGGAAGGAGGGGGGGGGGGCUUUUGGAGGUUAUGAUUGUGGGCUUUUUAUAAACUAUCUUUGUUUGUUUGCGUGCGGUCGUGGGUGCAUGAGAAGUAUGGGAUGAUGAGGGUUAUGGGGUGGGAUAGAGAUGAGAGAAUGUUGGAUUGAUAUUGGAGUGGGAGUGGAGAGUCAUGGAAGGCAUAACAGACAUGUAUAUGUGGACAAUACAUGAAGAAAAGGGACACGAGUCAGAAGAUUGAUGAGGGAGUUGAUUGGAUUGAUCUAUCUUUCGGAAGCUUCUUGUUCAAGCCUCCAAAGCCAUUGUAUACUCUUUUGAAGUUGAGGAGGUGAUGAGUAACCUUUUUUUGAUUCUCGGCGUUCAGAUUUUAACUUGGUUUUUCCUCUACUUUUGCUUUCUAACUUAUCUUUAUGGUUUCUGGCUCUGGCAAUAGGCCUUUCUUGUGGUGCAAUGUCAUUUACUAGUAUUUUCUUGACGUAGAAAGGGCUGUCACGCCUUUGCAUUACACUACUAGUAGUAGUAUUUAGAACCAGUGGUUGUGUAUACUCCACGGAAGGAAAAACAACUGAAAAGGAAGAGUUGAUGGCUCUUUCUGUUUCUGGCUUCCAUCCUGUCAAUUCGAGAAAGGCAUAUGUUUUAGUGGAGGUCCGGCUGUAUUGAUGGUCUGGCAUAUGGGAGCUGAAAUGGGCUGCGAAAAUUGCUAAAAAAGAACAAGAAGAACUUGAGUUGUUGAUUUAUUGUUGGCGUUUUUGACUUCUCUAAAGAGCAUUGUACAACGAUGGAAUUCCGAAACUAUUUAAGAUGAACUAGCAGCUGCUUCGUUUUUGUUUAAUAAAGUGCUAAUAAACAAGGGUGAUGCACAUAGCUAGCCAGAGACAAUUGAAUCCAGAAGCCAAUUCUCGAAAUUGUUGGUUUUGUUCAUCGUUUAGCUGACCUUCUUCUUAGUCCUUUUUGGACUUUUGAGGAUCCUGAAUGUCUCCCAGUGGCCAGUGACCGCAUCUUGCACACUUCUCCUUACUUUCUGCGAGGGUAAUUCACUAUUCUCACUCUUUUCUUUCCUUUUUUUUUUUUGGGUUGUGGAGAAAAUAAUAUAAUAGGGUUGUCUAUUCUAUUUGGCUUUUAAUUUGUCUAAUUUUACAGUAAUCACUGACUGUUAUUUCCAGGUGAAAGACUAUUCAACAGAAGAGGACUUAUAAGUCAAGAUGUUUGCGGAAAAAGUCUGCUCUGCAGUUGUGACUUGAGACUCCACUUUGGAAGUCCCACUCCAGUGCCUAACGAAGGUUCCGCACUCAAAAACUCAAUCAAAAGUAGUAGUGUUAGCGGAAGCAAAUCACAGAGACCACCGCCCAAAAAUUAUAAACUUUACCUGCAGCCUCCGUGCCAACUUACAACUUACGCAGACUAAUUGCAUUAUGGGCAGUGGGAACCUCUGGACUGGAAGAAACCCUGCCUGAAAAGUCCAACCCCAUGACUUGACCCAAUCCCCCGCACCCCAAAGGUUGCCUAACCAUACAUUGUACAAUGCGAACCACCCCCAGCUUUAGCUCUGUGAUUACCAGAAAGGAAUUACAUCCCUUUUUGAACUGCAGAUCAAGGUUUGAAUCCUACUUAUGGUUAAAAAAAUUUCGGUAUCAUUUAAAACUUUGGUCUAGCCCGAUCUAUAUAGUCCCUGAUACAGCAAUUUUUUUAGACUUUCCUUACUACCUGUAGAUAGUUUCUUUAAAAAAAGCUUUUCCUUCCCUGUAGAUAAUUUCUUUAAACUUCCUCUUCUUGUAAAACAAAAUAGAUUGCGUUAUUGGAAUCCUUCUUUAAAUUUUCCCUUUUUUAGAAUAAAACAGAUUAAAUUAUAGGAAUGUUAUUGUAGCCAAAAAAAAAAAAAAAGAGACAAAAUAUACAUUGUAUAAUGCAGAUUACUCGCUCCACAAGCAAUUCACCGUUACAAGGUAUCGAUUAUGCUCUUUUAGACGCUCUGUUUUUCACCUCUCAUCGACUUCUAAUAGCAAAAGAAAAUGCUACUAUCCUAUUUGUCGGAACUUAAGAAUUUGGUAUACAAUGCAAACUAGUUCAUUAUUGAUCACUAUAUAUUAUUUUUACUAGUUUAGGAUAGAAUACAACGUCCAUUUACAAAGCCAAAGAUUUGGGGGAUGUGGAAUGGAACAGAAUUUGAACUUUACUAGUAAUUAAUCAAAAGUCUGAACACUUUUUCUUUGCGCUGGCUUUCCAUUUCUUUUUGACGGUGAGUUGUCUUUGAUUCCAUGCCGAUCGAAAUUCUAUUUCCUAGUGACUCCGGACACAUGCAGAGAUCCUAGUGGCUAUCACUAAUUUUUUUUUUUUUUUUUUGGAAAUUUAAUGUAGACUACUUACCUCAGACUUGAGAUGAUCCGUGAGAUCAUCCUUGCCUUUCUCUAGAACAAGAACAAAUCUUUCCUCAUUAAUUUCUUAAAACAACUGCAGGAGGAUCUUGCAUGCAUGCGUUCUUUUGUGAAUCGCAUGCAUGCUAUCAGGUCAAGGUUAAUAAAUGAUGGGCGCGGAGAAUAAAGAGUCGGUAGCAUGAGCAAAAACAGGAGAAGCACACCUCCGGUCAAAUUUGUUAAUUAAUGCCUGAAAGUGUGUUCGUGAUUCACCGAUUGCUCAGGUAAAUUAAAAAGAAGUGGCUUUGGGGAAUGGAACCAUUUUGAAGUGUCGUAGGAUUCAGAGAAGAAAAGAUCAAGAUUCGGGAGAUCAAACGUAGAUCGUUGGAUGAUACUGGACAUUUAGCAUCUAAGAAUUUGUGUGUGUGUGAGACGAUCAGACGCAAUUAUGCAGACAUACUCACUCAAUCCUCUUGAUGGAGGAGGAGGUACCUAUAUUCCAAAACCUGAAAAAAAGCCAUUUAUGAGGAAAGCUAAGCUUCUUCUGAUAUAUUCCUUUUGACAUAAUUCAAGAAAAGAUGACCUCUCCCCAUGACAGAGACUAAACAUUGACCUGAUUGGCCUCACCUGACCCUACCAAAUUGGACCCAUUUGCUUCUUUUGUCUGCAAUGCCAUGCUGAUCCAUCGCGUAUAUGUUCUAUAUAUGAUUGUAAUCCGGCCCCUCAACUUCUCACUUCUUCCCCUGCAAUUACUCUGCUCAGAAGAAAUCCUGAUCAAAUUGCCCAAAGGGGAUGUGGAAAGCAACUAAAUCUGGCGGCUAAGACAGGGAAUAUGUUCUGCUGGUUAUAAUGCAAUUAACAAACACACCCCACCCAUGACUCUUCCUCCUCCUAACUAUAUCUGGACCUUCGUUUUUGCUUUGAACUUUAGUGGAAAAGCACGCAUGAACAAAAGAUGGUUAGAGGUCUUUCUUUAACAAGUAGAAAUUGUUUUAAAAUUGCGUAAAGGCCAAAAAAAAAUUGUAGUAUAUGCUGCAAUAUUUAAAAAGUUGUCUUGUCUUAAUCAAACCAAUGUGUUUCAUUAGCAAUUCUUGCCAUCUCAUCUUUCAGAUUUUACUUUCAAUAUAUUAAUAGAAUAUCGUUGAUUUGAAGUGUGAACACUGAUGUUAUUAGAGUAUAUAAUUAAGAAUUAUAACACAAGCUAGCUUUGAAGAUUAUCAUGCUCAACUUUUCUUCCAAUAAUUACCUUUCUGUGUCACCCAGAAACAACUAGCUAACCCCUUUUCCAGUUGCUUCAUACAUUGGCCUACCUACAAACAAUUGCCGAAAGCCAGCCAGCUCAAGAAGACAACAGCACAUACUCUAUAUGUUUUUCUCUUCUCUCUCUCUUUUUUUUUUUUUGGGUCUGUAUAUGUUAUGUUUAAUAGCUUAAUAAUUAAUGCAUCUAUAUAUGUAUGUGUUUUUAGUUACCAGAAUCAUCGGUCACAAGUUUUAGUUACGACAAAAAUUAAAUGGACCGCGAGAUGUUCCAGAAAAAAAAAAUUUAAUAGCAUAAAGAUAAAGUAGAACUUGCGAUUAUGAUUUUGAUUCUGAUAACUCAAAUCCUCCAGACCUCUGGUGUCCUUAUCAAGAAGAAGGUCAAACCGUAGCCUUUCUGCGCGCAGUUUCUUUAGUUUGAAACGGCACCAACAUUUUGAGCACAUUCAAAGGACUGUGUGCACGAACAAUUUGCUACUUGUUUUGGGCUUCUUCUUCUUCCUCCUCCUCCUCCUCUUUGUUUUAAUUUUUUUUUUUAAAAUUUUUUUUUUUGAUUUGGGAGGGCGGGGGCAGGACUCAGGAGUUUGCUAGUAUUACAUAUGCAUUCCUGUUGGUUGGGGAAAUGCUAGUUCUUACUAAUCACUCUUUUAUUUGAAGGUGAAGUGUGGAGAAUUUUCUGCGGGUACAUACAUGCAGUUUUCAUAUUCGAAUAAGCAGCAGAUUGAAGAGCCAAAAUGUUGAGGAUCGAUGGACUUGGAAACUGCAGCUUGGCCUGCUAUUGCUAUAGGACAUGCUAUUGCUGCACAAAGUUACGAAAGAAAGAAGCAAUGCGACAUUUCAUUGUGAUAGUGAUUUAAGCAUCUAUCAUUUGGAAUAUAUGUCAAAAAUUACACCAACUUUAUAACUAUGACGUAAUGGCAGCUACCCGAUAGCAAUAUUCUCCUCUCAAGUUAACUGAUAAUUAGCAAGGAAACCCCACCCCACCCCACCCCACCCCCACCCCAUUGCAUGUUAUAUGUUAUUCACAGCCAAAUGAUUGCAAUCAGAAAUCACAUCUUUUUUUCCUUUCUUCAACCAAAUAUUAAUGGCUGGCUUUAAAGCUGAUAACAUAAUAAUUAAACCUAUAUAUUCUGACAAAUUUUUUUUUUUUUGGUGUUGGUGCAUUCGCUAAAUGAUUGAUCAUCAUCAUGUCAGAAUUGAGCGUCUAGCUAGGAACUUCCUUCAAAAAUGUUUCCGCUCAUUCAAGAUCACUUGCCAAAUCUGUUGUUGGUCAAGAAAACUCGAAAUUAAUCCACCAUAUGGGAGACACAAAGAAUACAAAUGCCCUCCAAUAAUACGACCAAAGUCAAGUACUUAGGAGCUAAGUUUCUAACAAGUACACGGGACACACGCGGUGGAAAAGAAAGGAGGAACGGAGCCUUGUAGGUCACAAAAGAUGGUUGGGUUGAGAUUCUGAUCGGCACCAUUCAUGUAAAGAUUAAUUAUUGUCACUCACCACCAUUUAGCCAACUCCCACACAAAAGAAAAUAAAAAAUUUUUUUUUAAAAAAAAUAAAAAAUAAAAAAAAUAAAAAUAAAGAAAAAGGGGGCAAAGCUAGCCAAAAAGAGUUGAAACAGCGGAGUGGAGGUGGAUUGGCCAUGACAUUAGGGUAUCUAUCCAUCUCCUUCUUCUAUCCCUGCUGUCCUUCCAAUAAGCAAGCACCAUGCAUGGAACCAGCGCCAUACGCUUGCUUUUUUUUUUUUUUUUUUUUUUUUUUAUGCAUGGUUACGAGCGAAACGAGUGAUGGUGGUCCAAUCGCUUAUAUAUACCAGAUGGUACUACUACUACUAGUAGUAUAAUACUGCUCUACUGAUACGAAUAUAUGAUCAUCGAUUCUCCGGAUAUGUUAAUUUCACUUUGAAAAUACCUUUGAUUCAAAUAGUUUUCUUUCUUUCUUUCCGAGCUGUGACCACUAUGAUCGUUAAUUUGUAGUUUAUGGGCAGCGAUUCCAUCAUAUUUCACAUGUGGCGUUUGGCAUCUCUCUUCCCCCUCAACUUGCACUUGAAUGGUGCAAAUCAAUGCAUAUUUAUAAGUCCCCACCUUCAAAUAAUUGGCUCGGCAUAUUUUCAAUGGUAUUCCGCAAAACCCUAAAACGUAGCCACCAUAAAUGUCAUGAUAUAUGAUGCUCUUUGGAUCCUUUUUGCUCGAGGAAACACGAAGGGAUGUGAUUCAGGCUAGGCUGGGCUGGGCAAUUGUAAACACGCUUUCCUGUCAAAAUUUGGCUAUUUUAUCCGUAAAUCAUCUUGAUCAAUUAAUUUGCUUGAAUUUUCUGGCAAAUGGUAUCGUCACAAUCUAAUUUUAUUUCCACAUUGAAAUGGCAAAAUCACCUACUUUAUGACCAAAUUGUUUCUUGGAGUUUUUUUUUUUUUGGCUCAAAAAAAAAAAGAAUGAAAUUUAAGAAGAUGAGAGGGAAAAGAAAAUUUAAAUUCGUGACCUCUAUGUCGUCUUGAGAGACGCCUCUCUUCGCCGGAGUUGAGAAAAUUGAGAAAAGGAACUUGGGUAUUCAUUUCCGUGCCUGUGGAAAUAAAAUUUGAACUGGGUCAUUAAUGGCAGCGAGUUUUCUAGCUGUAAUGGGGCUGAAGCCCAAAUUGUAACAUUUUUGAUUGCAGAUACGGAGGGAAGGCUGUGCAUCAGUGGUGGCGGUUGCACAAUGGAAGCAACCCAACUAAAUUCGCGGACCGUUGAUGCAAUGAAGUCCAAAAACCAACGUAAGUAAAUCUUCCUUUGGGCCGGAUAGAGGCAUUCAUUUUGUCUUCUUAUCCAGCUGAAUGAAGUUACUUAGACCCAAAAGAGACUGCUAGCGCGACAGCGUCCGUACACAGACACAAACCAAGAGAAACGGAAGCUGCGAGACUGUGAAGGUGCCAAGAAACCUCGUCGGUCAUCAUUUUAUGGAGCUUUCACCCCCUCCAGCAUGCACGUCUGAAUGGCGAAGCCACGUAGAUUUGUCGCCUUCUUCGUCAUGUCCCCCCUUUUUAUUCAUUCAACGCCACCUCUUCCAAGCUUACACUUUCGUCAUCUUGCUCAGAAAAUGUCUCAGAAAAUUUUUAUGAUCUCGCCAUUUUCGUUCUUCAUAUGCUUAAUCUUAGUUUUAUGUUUCACCUGUAUAAAUGUGGGAGCUGCUUCCGAUGAGGAGAGUGAAUCCUAUUUGGGAUCUUUGGUGAAGAAGAAAGAUGAACGGAAGCUAAUUUCUUCGAGUGAAUAUGGAGAGAUAUCAGGGGUUAGUGUUAGAGAGCGGACGGAUUUGUCGUAUCACCUUCAGUUCAUCACCUUGAAGCCAUUUGCUCUUUUCCUCCCCGUUGUAUUACAUGCAAAUAUGGUUUUCUAUGCGCAAACAGGUAAGCAAAACAAGAGCCUAGAGUUUAUCCAAUUAAAUCUUCAUUGUAUGUUGCGGUCUUUAAAAGGACUCGUACUAUUGCUAAUUUUUGGUGCAUUAUUAAGUUACUAUAUAUUGGUGUGUGAAACAUGGGAUGUGGUGAUUCAGAUUCAUCAGGCCAUGAAUUCAGAAUUUCUCUUUUUCCCCACAAUGUUGAAGUCGUGGCCUAAAACUUUGCCAUGAAAUAUGAGAGUGUUGCAGGUUCUGGGAAGCUGAGUUACACUACCGAAGCGGGCCGCAUGCUGACAAAGACGUUGAGACAAGGAGAUACUUUGGAACUCAAUCCAGGGACUAUUUUCUUCAUGGAGGCCAUCCACUGUGUGGACGAACUAAGAGUUUACGCUAUCUUUGGUAAUUUGAGGGAACAUUUCCGCGUAAGAACUUUCAACGCCCCUGAAUUUGUUUCUUUUAUCUUAUACUAAUUUGUAACUCUUCAGUUGGGUUUCCAUAGGGACCGGCAACGACAGCACCAUACUCUAGUUUCCGCCACCUGAUCCUCGGCUUUGAUAAAAUGAUUCUGCAACUAACCUUCAAGGUACAUCAGAAUUUGGGUUUAUUUAGUGGGUGUAAUUGCCUCCUUCCCAGUUAACUAGCAUGUUUGGCUUGAUUUAGGAAAAGAGACAGUAUGCGGUUUGGAUUAAGGGCUUCGAUCUUGUUAAAUGAAUUUAGUGAUGCAAAAUUGUGUUUGAAGGUGCCUGAAGAUGUGAUUAAAGAGAUAAUGAAUAAACCGAACCCACCGGCCAUUGUUUCCAGCGUCUCGGGAACAAUGGAAAAAUUAUGGGAUUUGGAAGCUCGUUUCAUUAAAGAAUUAACAAGAAGCACGGGGCCCAACCUCCUCAACAUGCUUGGCUUAGAACGAGAUUGUGGGAACCAUAAUGGGUGGAGAACAACAUCAAACAAGAAAAAGCUCCCAGAUUUCAAAGGUUUCAAAGGUUCCAACUUUGGUGUUUCCGUAACAAAUUUGACCAGAGUAAGCGUGGCUACAGUCAGUUAGCUCUUAAUUGGCUCCCUGCAUUAUGCUGCAAUGCCUCAAAUAACUAAUUAUUUAAAUCAUCAACAAUUGACACAUAUGAUGAUUGACUCGAAUGUUUAUCUGACAAAAUGGAAAAUUCCAGGGAUCGAUGGUGGCGCCGCACUGGAAUCAAAUGGCGACUGAGAUAGUAAUUGUUUUACAAGGAAAAGGAAUUGUUCUAGUGGUUUGUUCUAGCAUUUUUGCUAAACAAAAUGAAUGCAAAAACAUGAGGUUUCAAGUGGGAGAAGGUGAUGUGUUUGUCGUGCCAAGGUUCCAUCCUACAGCUCAAAUGUCUUUCAGUGAUGAAACAUUUGUUUUCAUGAGAUUUAGUACCACAAGAAAGAAAAUUAGCCAUCAAUAUCUGGUUGGUAAAACUUCCAUUUUCAAGACCUUAGGCAAACGUAUAUUGGCAGCAUCACUGGGUGUUAAUGAAACAAUAGCAGACAUGGUUAUGGCUUCACAGAGGGACUCCGUAGUCUUGGAUUGUAAUUUGUGUGCAGAGGAAGAAUUAAGGAUGAUGGAGGAGGAAAUAGAAAAGGCAAAACAGACGGAACCAGAGACCCCAGAAGCAGAAGUAGAAGCUGGAGAAGGAACUGAAAAACCAGAAGAAGAAUCAGGGGAAGGGAAAGAUCGACCAGAGAAACCAGAAGCUAGAGCCAGGGAAUAUAAAAAUGAAGUCACAAUCAAAGAAAAGAGAUGAGCAUAGGCUUGAAAGGGAUGUAAUUCAAACUCAAUAUUCAGCUUUUGUUGUUAAUCAGAUUUGCAUUGCUGAAGUAAUUAGUGUUUAUUUCUAUGUACAAUUGCCGAUUUUUCACACAGAGAAGGUUGGUGGCAUUUGGGGGUGUGGUAUUGUUCUGCAUGGCAGACGACUCCUAGGACUCGUAUUUCAGUAUGGUAUAUAUCUAGGAGCUGAGUAGCCUUUCCAAUUUCUUAAUCACGCACGCGCGUAGCAAUAUCAUAAAAUUGACCAAAUCAUCAUCUACUUGUAUUUCUGCAUAAACUGAUCUAAUAUCUUUCGUAACUUUAUCAGAGUAUAACAUUUUGUGAAUCAUAGAGGAAUGCAAAACUAAUUAUUUCAGCUCCAUUCUUGCCUUUGACUUUCAUCUCGUAGUCAACUUAUCAGCAAAUUUACGGAAAUAAUGUGCAAAUGACAAUGAAGAGAAUCCAGCAGUGAAGUGCUGCAUUAGCAUUUAUAUCCAUGUUAUGCAGAUACCCUUAAAUGUGUUUGAAAUUUCAAAACUUUGCCCUUCCAAUUUGUAGGUUCAUGAGCAGCUGGGGGAUUUCACAAAUCUUAGAAGGGAAAGGAGAAAGAAAAGAGAGUCAAAUAAAAAAAAUCUCAGAAUCACAUAACUUAUGUUCCUGCCACCCAAAUUGAGUUUUCAGGACGGAUGAUUAUUAAUUUUUCUGUAAAAAUAGAACGCAGCCCCCAUUUUGCAGGUUGCUCUUUGUAAUAUACCUCGAAAGAAUGGAAAUGGAAGUAUGGCCCUUUUUUUUUUUUUUUAAUUUUAAUAGAAAUACCCCAUUAUCUACAAUGGUCAUGAAUUGACCAUUGCAUAGAAAAGUUCAAGAUCAUUGCAUCAUUAGCCUACUCAAAAUCGGCGCUCUCGCCUGAAGACAAGUUUGAAUAAAAACCACCCAGCUACGGCUAAGGUCUCAUGCAUUUUUGCAUGAAUGUUUCAACAUGUUCAACACGAACAGCUGCCUCGUGGCACCUUCAAAUUGCCCCGUGUCCAUGCAAAAGCCACGUCGCUUCUCUAAUCCCUGUUUCCAAUUCCCCCUCCCCCUCCCCUAUAAAACCACCGGUUCUGACCAGCUCCUUUCUUCACUUCUCAUUAGUCCAAAAAUUUCAAAAAUGUCCACCGAAAAAUUGUUGUCAGCAUCUUCAAUUUCGCUCUUAGGCUUUGGUUUAUGCUUAUUUCUCUGCGUGCAUGCUACCGCUGGGGAAGAUGGUCAGACUGUCCCCGGAGCAGGACAUUUAGUAAAGAAAGGCGAAAGGCAGCCAAUAAUCUCAACUGGAUUUGGAGAGGUCUCGGGAGUUAGAGUUAGCGAUGGAAACGAGACUUUUAAUAUUCACCUCAUCACCUUGGAGCCCAACUCCUUGUUUCUGCCUGUUAUGCUGCAUCAAGACAUGGUGUUCUACGUUCAUACAGGUAAUUUUAUUAUUAUUAUUUUUGUUUAAAGGUGCUUGGACUCGGGCUGAACCUUCAAUUCCUUGAAUUCAGCUGUAUCUAAUUAGUCUGAUAGUGUCUAUAUUAUCAAGAACAAGAAAUCACCAGUAGUGACUUGUCUUAAUCAUUGAAUUUUGUCAAAUUUUGCGGAGUUCAUCCUGCUGUUUGUGUACAGGGAGCGGAAAUCUGAGCUACAGAGAUGAAAAUAAAAGAGAGAAUACGACCAUAAGACGAGGAGAUGUUUUUCGUCUGGGAUCAGGAAGCGUUUUCUUCAUACAGAGCGACGUAGGUCUGGAGAGACAGAAGCUAAGAAUUUAUGCCAUAUUUGGCAAUGCAGGGGAGGACUUGAGAGUAAGAGACUAAGAGCACUAUUUUUGUCAUUUCACUGAUUUUGUCAAUUGACAAUGGAUGCCUUCAGUUUUCAUACGUGAGUGACCAUGACCAUGAAUAUUGCACUAUCUAAACUUCUUGAUCUUAGGAACCGACUGAAUACGGACCAUACUCGAGCGUUCGCGACUUGGUUCUUGGAUUUGAUAAGAAAAUUCUCCAGGAGACCUUCAAGGUAUGUUAUCUAAUCUAGCAUGUGGUAAAAAGAGUAAAGAGAGACAGGACUGUUUCUUGAAAUCCCUCAUUUUGGGUUGUAACCCCUGGUGCAAAAUGGUACUCAAGGUUCCUGAAGAAGUGAUAGAGGAAAUGACAAGCGGAAGGAAGCCGGAAGCAAUAGUUCGUGGAUUGCCGGGCACUCAGGAAAAAACCAUACGGGAGAGGGAGUAUCAGUUCAUCGAAGCCGUGUUUGGAAGCACAAGUAUUUUCAGCAUUUUCGAAACCAGCAACAAAGACAAGAAGAAGUCCAAAAAAUUCAACAUAUUCCAAGAAAAACCAGAUUUUGAGAAUUGCAACGGGUGGAGCACAACAGUUACCCGGAAAAAGUAUUCCGUCCUGAAGGGCUCCAAAUAUGGCCUUUUCAUGGUGAACUUGACCCGCGUGAGUUUUUAAUCUGAGUUUGCCUGAAAUUUGUAGCUUGCAGUUAGCAAUAUGCAAGAAUGUGCUACUUACCAUACAAAAUUUUCCCACUCUGUUCUGGGUCUGUGCUAGUAACGUAGUAGCCAUUAGUAAAUAGGUGAUUGCUGAUGGGCUUUAUUUUACUUUUUUUUUUUUUUCUAGGGAGGAAUGAUGGGUCCUCACUGGAAUCCCGAGGCAACGGAGAUAGCAGUAGUACUGCAAGGGAAGGGGAUGGUUCGGGUAGUUUGCCCAAGUCUACCGAACAAAGCAGAGUGCAAAAACGCGAGGUUUGGGGUUGAAGAAGGCGACAUUUUCGCCGUGCAGAGGUUCCAUCCCAUGGCGCAGAUGGCUUUCAACAACGAAACGCUCGUUUUCGUUGGUUUCAGUACAUCAACGGAGAACAAUCACCCACAGUAUCUAGCAGGGAAGGCAUCAGUCCUCAGGACUUUGGACAAGCACAUCCUGGCAGCAUCAUUUGGAAUAAAUGAAACUACCUUCGACAGGCUUGUGAAUCAACAACGCGAAUCGGUUAUCUUAGAAUGCACCUCCUGCGCAGAGGAAGAAUGGAGGAUAAUGGAGGAAGAGAUUGAGAGGGAAAGAGAGGAGGCAAGGCAGAGGGAAGAGGAGGCAAGGAAGAGGGAUGAAGAGAGGAAAAGACAGGAAGAGGAAGCUGAGACGAGAGAAGAGGAGGAGGCAGCUAGGGAGAGAGCAGAGGAGGAAAGGAAGAAGAGAGAGCAAGAAGAAGAGGAAGAGGCGGCACGGAGAAAGAGAGAGGAAGAGGCAGCACGAGAAAGGAGGGAACAAGAGGAAAGAGAACAAGAAGCAGCACAGAUGGAAGAGAAAGAAAGGGAAGCAGCUAAGCGAGAGGAAGAAGAAGCAGCACAAAGAAGACAAGAAGAAGCUGGCCAGGGAGAAGGAGGGCGCCCACACGAAGGGGGCAGGGAAGCACGGCCGCCGGAGGAAGACGGAAGAGGAGGAGUAGGAGCCAGGCAGGAGGAGGAAACUGCAAAGCAACAAGAAAAAGAAAUGGGACAAGAGGAGGAGCAGGGCAAUGGCCAAGGAUGGGGAAGAAGAAUCCUUAAAAAUGCUUCUUGACUGUGUCUAGUAAUGCUCAAAAGUAGACGUUUCCAGUGAGCAUAAAGCUGAAUAAGCAGUUUUGUUU